GAGACUUAAGAAAAGAUAAAGCUUCUAACUUCAUUCUAGGGCGGUUAAAUUCCGUCCACUUCUCC
RNAcentral lists this transfer RNA (65 nucleotides) under Paranephrops planifrons. RNAcentral's name for it is "tRNA-Ser". The record is from RNAcentral. Lineage: Eukaryota; Metazoa; Arthropoda; Malacostraca; Decapoda; Parastacidae.